This 491-nucleotide ribosomal RNA is filed under the name Coranus dilatatus. RNAcentral's name for it is "partial 16S ribosomal RNA". It matches the Rfam family "Bacterial large subunit ribosomal RNA", at positions 1847 to 2597 of the family's 2925-position model. The record is from RNAcentral. Lineage: Eukaryota; Metazoa; Arthropoda; Insecta; Hemiptera; Reduviidae.
AAGGUCUAACCUGCCCGAUGAUUGUGAAUUUAAUGGCCGCGGUAUUUUAACUGUGCUAAGGUAGCAUAAUCACUUGUCUUUUAAUUGGAGGCUAGAAUGAAUGGUUGGACGAGGCAUAUGCUUUCUUUAAUUCAGUUUUUGAAUUUAAUUUUUUAGUUAAAAAGCUAAAAUGUAUUUGAGGGACGAGAAGACCCUAUAGAUCUUUAUAAACUUCUGCAUUAUGUAUAUUAGUGAAUUAAUUACUUUAAUGGGCAAGUUUAUUUGGUUGGGGUGACUGUAGAGAUAAAAUAACUUCUAUUUAUUGUAUUUCACAAAUUAGUGUUUAGUUGAUCCACUUUUAGUGAUUAAAAGAUUAAGUUACCUUAGGGAUAACAGCGUAAUUUUUUCGGAGAGUUCUUAUCGAUGAAGGAGUUUGCGACCUCGAUGUUGGAUUAAAAUAAGUAAUGGGUGUAGCAGCUCAUUUACUAGGUCUGUUCGACCUUUAAUUUUUU